GACGGAGGGUGCAAGCGUUGUUCGGAAUUACUGGGCGUAAAGAGCGUGUAGGCGGUUUGAUAAGUCGAGUGUGAAAGCCCGAGGCUCAACUUCGGAAGUGCACUCGAAACUGUCAGGCUUGAGUACGGGAGAGGGAAGUGGAAUUCCUGGUGUAGAGGUGAAAUUCGUAGAUAUCAGGAGGAACACCGGUGGCGAAGGCGGCUUCCUGGACCGAUACUGACGCUGAGACGCGAAAGCGUGGGGAGCAAACAGG
This 253-nucleotide ribosomal RNA is filed under the name uncultured bacterium. RNAcentral describes it as "partial 16S ribosomal RNA". It matches the Rfam family "Bacterial small subunit ribosomal RNA", at positions 524 to 776 of the family's 1533-position model. The record is from RNAcentral.